UAGGCAAAUGAUCAAGUAGACCAAGCCCCCUUUACAAGCCCGGGAAAACAUAACGCCAGUGAUCAACACGCCUUCGGUUGGGGCGACCGCGGAGGAUAAAACAGCCUCCGAGUGGAAUGGGAAAACCCUUAAGCUAAGAAAAACAAGUCUAGGCAUCAAAAAAUUUGACCAAACAUGACCCAGGAGAACCCUGAUUAACGAACCAAGUUACCCUAGGGAUAACAGCGCAAUCCCCUCCCAGAGUCCAUAUCGACGAGGGGGUUUACGACCUCGAUGUUGGAUCAGGGCUUCCUAAUGGUGCAGCUGCUAUUAAG
Molecule: ribosomal RNA, 314 nt
Filed under: Gymnothorax undulatus (undulated moray)
Lineage: Eukaryota; Metazoa; Chordata; Actinopteri; Anguilliformes; Muraenidae
Description: partial large subunit ribosomal RNA
Rfam family: Bacterial large subunit ribosomal RNA
Source: RNAcentral